Molecule: ribosomal RNA, 571 nt
Filed under: uncultured bacterium
Lineage: Bacteria
Description: partial 16S ribosomal RNA
Rfam family: Bacterial small subunit ribosomal RNA
Source: RNAcentral
UGGGGAAUUUUGGACAAUGGGGAACCCUGAUCCAGCCAUCCCGCGUGUGCGAUGAAGGCCUUCGGGUUGUAAAGCACUUUUGGCAGGAAAGAAACGUCGCGGGUUAAUACCCCGCGAAACUGACGGUACCUGCAGAAUAAGCACCGGCUAACUACGUGCCAGCAGCCGCGGUAAUACGUAGGGUGCAAGCGUUAAUCGGAAUUACUGGGCGUAAAGCGUGCGCAGGCGGUUCGGAAAGAAAGAUGUGAAAUCCCAGAGCUUAACUUUGGAACUGCAUUUUUAACUACCGGGCUAGAGUGUGUCAGAGGGAGGUGGAAUUCCGCGUGUAGCAGUGAAAUGCGUAGAUAUGCGGAGGAACACCGAUGGCGAAGGCAGCCUCCUGGGAUAACACUGACGCUCAUGCACGAAAGCGUGGGGAGCAAACAGGAUUAGAUACCCUGGUAGUCCACGCCCUAAACGAUGUCAACUAGCUGUUGGGGCCUUCGGGCCUUGGUAGCGCAGCUAACGCGUGAAGUUGACCGCCUGGGGAGUACGGUCGCAAGAUUAAAACUCAAAUGAAUUGACGGGGUCG